This is an RNA transcript of Sciurus carolinensis (gray squirrel), 5003 nucleotides long. It is a transcript of the gene named alpha-L-iduronidase, with no coding region annotated. Lineage: Eukaryota; Metazoa; Chordata; Mammalia; Rodentia; Sciuridae. The transcript is spliced from 19 exons. The record is from RefSeq and is a predicted model, not a curated record.
CUGUCCCCAGCCCCCCACUGCCACAUGACCAGGCUGCCCAGUACGACCUCAGCUGGGACCAGCAACUCAACCUCGCCUAUGUGGGUGCCGUCCCUCAUGGUGGCAUCAAGCAAGUCCGGACACACUGGCUGUUGGACCUCGUCACUGCCAGGACAGGAGACUGUGAGAGUUGGAGUGGGGAGCAGCCCCUAACUGGGACCUACCCUGAAACUUCCUCCUGCAAGCCCUCUCUGCUUCCUGAUGACAUGAGCCUGGCCAGGGAAGACCAGCAGCCCCAUCUGGGGACAGAAUGGGUGUGGAAUAUGGGAUCUGACUACUGCUUCUGGAGGGCCCUGCCCUGGACCCCAGGAUCGCCCUGGCUCAGUUGGGCUUCUGAGGACCUAGGCCACCUCCUCCUCCUGGACCCCAGUCCUGAGGGGCCCACUGUCUGCCCAGCGGUUGUGAUUUGUGGCUUAGAGGAGGCUGUUUCCUAAUGGGUGUGGUGGGGUGAAUCACAGAGGGCCUUCUGGGGCGGAUAAGGAGCCCUUCUGCUGUCUAGAAGGCAGCUACUGGGCAUCAUAAAACCACAAUCUGCCCAGUGCCCGUGGAGGAGCAGUUAAAAACUACCUAGGAGACCAGCAGGGCUGAGUCACUCUCCUGGGGUCUCCCUGGCGUUGGCAGGAUGGAUCCUGGGUCCACAAAGCAAGCGAACCUGCAGAUAGGUGCCGGUGCGGGGCAAGGUGGGGCAUCACCUGGGCAGUACAGAACAGUGUAGGGGCAGCCCCUUACCCCUCUGUGGUCUGGGUGGCAGGGAUCCGUCCUCUCGCCCUGCCCUGCCUGGUCUGGGUACCUCCGCAGGUGAGAUGCAGCUGUGAUCACCCACCUGGCGAGAGAAUUGUAGGACCCUUGGGACUUAGGCUCCCCUGGCGCCCAGCUGCGGGUUCUCUGGCACUGAGGUCGCUGGGCCCACUCCCCAUCCCCAGUGCGCCCACUGAGCCGCAGGUUCCGUCCAUCUGUGCGUGGCCCACUCCAGGCAGCGGGGCAGCGACUUGAGGCCUGGCGCCUUCAGCUCGCCAGGACCUGCUCCGGCCCGCACGCCUGUUAGUCCUGUGCUGCCCCGUGAUUUCCCUCGUUUUAUCUUUAAAUCGCCUUUAAGCGCGCUCCCGGCCCGGAAGACCCCCGCCUCCGAGCUCGCGCGGCCUCUGUCCCGCCUUCCUCGCUGCGAGCCGCCCGGCCCCGCCAGUCACCCCGCUACCCGCGCCCCGGGCCCCACCUCGCGCGUCUCCCACGCUGCCGCCACACCCUCGUGCAGGCGCGGCCGAUUCGCCCAUUCCCCGGCCCCGCGCCUCGGUGCCCGCGUGGACCCCCUGCACGCACGGCCUGCAAGCGCGUCCCGGCCGCGCACCCUACGGGUCUGGGCAGCCCCCCCACGCGCGGCCGGGCCCGCCCACCCCGCCGUGCGCAUGCCCCAGUGCACGCGCGCCCCCGCCAUCCCCGUCAGCUCGCGCACCCCUAGAGGUCCACCCGCACCCCGCUUCUGCCCUGGGCCCGCCGGCGCCUCGCCCAGCCGCGUGCACUCACCCGGCGCGGCAGCGGCUGGGUCCUAGCGGCGCUCGCGCUCGGGCCGGGGCCGGGGGGCGGCCCGUCGGUACCAGCGCGGUGAAUGGGCCCCUGUGAGGCCCGGCCGGUGCCCCGCGGGGCCUGGCCGGCCUGGGCGGGUGGAAGGGGCCUCUCGCUUCCCCGCGGCGGUGCCCUGUCUGCCUCUCUGAUCAGGCCGCUCUGCAGGGGAGUUUUGGAGGACUUGCCAUCCGCCCAGCUCCCUCCCGCUCCGCGCCUCCAGAAUCCCUGUCCCAGUGGGGGCCAAGUGGAGGGAGACCGACCCUCCGCUGAUGCGGGGCUUCCUCUCCAAACCAGUACACGCACCGCACUGGAGUGGGUACUGUGUGGAGUUACUGCCUUUGGGACCUGUAGAGAAAACGGGGAGCCUACAACUGUCCCCACCCCAUUACCUGCAGGACUUUGGAAUCCGGCAGCUGUCAGACCACUCAUUUAAUCUUUAUCCAAGUGCAUGCCCUCACCUGGGCUCCAGAGCCCCCGAGCACCAGCGUCCUCAACUAGACCACCCUCAGCUGGCCAGUAUCACACCACCAACCCAUGCCAGUUGUCCUGCAGGCUCCCCUGCUGGUCCAGCCACUGGAGCUGCUGUCAGGAACCCCAGAAACCCCUCAGCGCCAGCCCCUUCCGAUGGCCUCCCAGCCACUGCCCAGCUGGGCACCGCUGCUCUUGCUGGGAGCCCACUGCAGCCCUCCAGCCAGUCUUCUGGCUCCUGCUCUGACUCCAACUGACUGCCACAGGGACAGGGACCUUUCCAAAAUGUCACUGUGAUGCUCUGCUCAGAACUCUGAAAGGAAUUGGUCUGGACGAGCAUGUGGGAAGAUCCUUCACCUUCCUGGCCUGCACAUUCCUAUCACCUCUUGGGAGUAUGGAAGGACGCAGGGGGUCGAUUGAGCAGGGCCUGAGCUACAACUUCACCCACCUGGACGGGUACUUGGACCUCCUCCGAGAGAACCAGCUCCUGCCUGGCUUUGAGCUGAUGGGAAGCCCUUCUGGACGCUUCACGGACUUUGAGGACAAGCUGCAGGUGGCCAAGUGGAGGGACCUGGUGUCCCUCCUGGCCAGAAGAUACAUCGGCCGCUACGGACUAGCACACGUUUCCAAGUGGAACUUCGAGACGUGGAACGAGCCCGACCACAGGGACUUCGACAACGUGUCCAUGACCACUCAAGGCUUCCUGAACUACUAUGACGCCUGCUCUGAGGGCCUGCGGGACGCCAGCCCGGCCCUGCGGCUGGGUGGCCCCGGGGAUUCCUUCCACCCACCGCCAGGGUCCCCGCUGUGCUGGAGCCUCCUGGAACACUGUGCCAAGGGCACCAACUUCUUCACGGGUGAGGUGGGCGUGCGCCUGGACUACAUCUCCCUGCACAAGAAGGGUGGGGGCAGCUCCAUCGGCAUCCUGGAGCAAGAGGUGGCCACUGUGCAGCAGAUACAGCAGCUCUUCCCCAAGUUCAAGGACACCCCCAUCUAUAACGACGAGGCCGACCCGCUGGUGGGUUGGUCUCAGCCACAGCCGUGGAGGACAGACGGCACCUACGCAGCCAUGGUGGUGAAGGUGAUCGCUCAGCACCAGAACCUGCUGGUCGCCAACACCAGCUCCUCCCUCCACUACGCUCUCCUGAGCAAUGAUAACGCCUUCCUGAGUUACCACCCUCACCCCUUCUCCCAGCGCACGCUGACCGCCCGCUUCCAGGUCAACAACACCCAUCCGCCCCACGUGCAGCUGCUGCGCAAGCCGGUUCUCACAGCCAUGGGGCUGCUGGCCCUGCUGGAUGGAGAGCAGCUCUGGGCAGAGGUGUCCCGGGAGAGGGUGGUGUUGGACAGCAACCACACAGUGGGCGUCCUGGCCAGCGCCCACCGCCCCAAGGGCCCCGUUGACGCCUGGCGUGCCACCGUGCUGGUCUAUGCAAGCGAUGACACCCGCGCCCACCCCAACCGCAGCAUCCCCGUGACACUGCGCCUGUCCGGGGUGCCUCCGGGCCCAGGGCGCGUCUACGUCACGUACUACCUGGACAACCGGCUCUGCAGCCCCCACCGCGAGUGGCAGCGGGCCGGCCGGCCGGUCUUCCCCUCCGCGGAGCAGUUCCGACGCAUGCGCUUGGCUGAGGACCCGGUGGCCGCCGCGCCACGCCCAUUUCCGGGCGGCAGCCGCCUGACGCUGCACCCUGAGCUCGCGCUACCCUCGCUCCUGCUGGUGCACGUGUGCGCGCGCCCGGAGAAGCCCCCCGGCCAGGUCACCCGCCUCCGUGUUCUGCCCCUGACCCGAGGGCAGCUGGCUCUGGUCUGGUCGGAUGAGCGUGUGGGCUCCAAGUGCCUGUGGACGUAUGAGAUCCAGUUCUCCCCCAACGGUGAGGUGUACGCCCCAGUCAGCAGGAGGCCGUCCACCUUUAACCUCUUUGUGUUCAGCCCAGACACAGCAGUUGUCUCUGGCUCCUACCGCGUACGAGCACUGGACUACUGGGCCCGGCCAGGCCCCUUCUCAGACCCGGUGCUGUACCUGGAGGGCCCUGCCUCCUGAGGGACCCACGAACCUGGUGAGCCAGAGCAGCCAGGAGCCAAGAUGGCUGGCCUGCUGCUGGCCGCCUGUUGCCUGCCAGCUCCUUUGGUCCCCCACCCUCAGUUUAAAGAGGCUUCCUACAUGGCGUGUCGGGGUCAGCUUCUGGACGGACGCUGGGUGGAUGUGGAACGGCACUGGGAGGAGAUGGGGCUGUGAGGAGCUGAGCCUGGCCUUUGCCGGCCUCCCUCCCAGUGAGGACACCCCUCCCGCCUGGGUGGAAGCUGCGGGUGAGGCUGGGAGCCCAGGCUGACCUGCCCACCAGGGGUCCCUGGCACCCCCUGGGGACGCAGCUCCCAGCGUUCCUCUUCCUCCUCUGAGCAGCUGUGGCAGAGGGUGGGACGGCACCCUUGCCCAUCCCAGACUGUGGUCAGCAACAGGAAAGACUGCUGUCUCCACCUCCCCAGGUCAUCUGGGCCCAGGAAGAAACAAGGCGAAGGAGGAGCCCACCUCUAGAGCUCUCCCGUUGCCAGGGCCACUGGACCUCUACUCUCCUCCAGCACCACCAGUAACUCUGAGGCUGGUUCCCCUGCAAGGUUGGCCCUGGCCUCUCACCCAGGAGCCGCCUGGCCUGAGACCCCCGUUGGAGGUCCUGGGUUGCGCCCAGUGCUUGUGACGCCAGGCCCAAUGCCUUCUGCCAGGUUGAGGAAGUGUUGUGUUCUUUUUUAUUCUUUUACUGCGUCGUCGCUGAGAUCUCGGAAACAACUGUCACGUGGUCGGCUGUGCGGGUGGAUUUUCAGAUGUUCGAUCAACCUGCAGCCCUGGACACCCCUGCUCAACCACCACGUGGUUUCCUUUUUCCACCGUUGCACUGGAUUAAUUGCAAUAAAAGCAUUUCACGUCUCUGUUCACGACA